Long non-coding RNA from Labrus bergylta (ballan wrasse), 1125 nucleotides. RefSeq lists it as uncharacterized. The record is from RefSeq and is a predicted model, not a curated record. NCBI's taxonomy places the organism in Eukaryota, Metazoa, Chordata, Actinopteri, Labriformes, Labridae.
GCGUGUGCGUGAGCUUAGCCGACGUCUGUUGUGACUAUGAGAGAGGCUAUAGGUUUGUUAUUUUUGCCGUUGGCUAUGGCGUACAGUAGCCUGUUUUAAGUUUGGAAAUAAACCCCCAUGCAAGCUGAAUAAUGUCUCCUAACUUCAUUGAGUAGAACGCUACAAUACUUUUAUGAAUUGGAUAAAAAGGGCAGGAACUCGAUACAUGUCACCAAAAACUAUGUCCUCUUGUGUGACAUGAUAUCUUGAUUAUAAAUUAGCCACAUUUUUACUAACAACUUAAUUAAAGCCCCAAUAUGUAACUUUUCAACCUUAAAAUCUUUGCUUGUAAGCUCAUCUCAUGAGAGGUACGUACUGCUUUACGGCACUAGUUUACAAGUCCCUUUUGAGUUAGCAGAGACUGUAAAUAUUAGGAGUAAGCUCGUCUCUGUACUGCUUGAUGCAGGCUAAGAGGAAAAGUACGUUGACGGAUGAAGCUAGGAAUAAAAUAAAGAACAAAGAGAGAGUGACCGAACAAGAGACUGGACAUAAGUAAAUACUGGAGAGGCUUUUACACGUUGGAUUGAGCUUCGGGGAACGGUGGUGCUGUAAGUCAGAUACCGAGCUGGCACUGCUGCUGUUGAACUGCUUUCUAAAAAGGCGAUCAGUAUCAUCUCCAUCAACAAAUGCAACCUACAACCGCGACAGGUGUUCAGCUACUGAAUGAGGAAGAGGAGGAGGCUGAUGUCUUGUAAUCCAGGUCCUGAAGUUGCUGCAAUAAAAAUCAAAGAGCUGGAGUGUGAACGCCUUGAAAGAGACAAGACUACACCCAUUGAUGCAGAACAAUUUGAAGAUGAACGGGCCUUCCUACUAAACAGAGUCUAGUGCUGAUGAUCCACAGGCACCACCCACAGCUGAACUUUCCUCACAUUUCACUGGAAGAAACUGCUCCUAAACUUUCUGCCUGUCUGUAUCUUCAGCUGUGCAUCAUCAGAGCUCAGGUCCAUCAUAACAAAGCUCCAGGAUAGUGUAGACCCCCCCAAGCAGCUGAAUGUGUAAAUAAGUGCCCAAAUGUGCUUUAGAUUGUAUUUGUAUAGAAAGUCAAUGUUUGUCUAAUAUAUAACCAUUUUAUCUUGAUCUCUUUAA